CCUACGGGUGGCAGCAGUGAGGAAUAUUGGUCAAUGGCCGGAAGCCUGAACCAGCCAAGCAGCGUGAAGGACGAAUGUGCCAAGCAUUGUAAACUUCUUUUGUCAAGGAACAAAAUCAGGCUCGAGAGCCUGACCGAGUGUACUUGAAGAAAAAGCAUCGGCUAACUCCGUGCCAGCAGCCGCGGUAAUACGGAGGAUGCGAGCGUUAUCCGGAUUUAUUGGGUUUAAAGGGUGCGUAGGGGGGCUGUUAAGUCAGCGGUAAAAGCCCGGGGCUCAACCCCGGAGAGCCGUUGAGACUGGCUGUCUUGAGAUGUGGAGAGGUAUGCGGAAUGCGUGGUGUAGCGGUGAAAUGCUUAGAUAUUGCGAAGAACUCCGAUUGCGAAGGCAGCAUACUGGCGGCGAUCUGACGUUGAGGCACGAAAGCGUGGGUAUCGAACAGGAUUAGAUACCCUUGUAGUC
RNAcentral lists this ribosomal RNA (459 nucleotides) under uncultured bacterium. RNAcentral describes it as "partial 16S ribosomal RNA". It matches the Rfam family "Bacterial small subunit ribosomal RNA", at positions 338 to 795 of the family's 1533-position model. The record is from RNAcentral.